GUGGUGGCACAAAAUCGGAAGCCCCGACUGUUUACUAAAAACACAGCUAUCUGCAACGAUGUAAAUCAUAGUAUAGGUAGUGAGGUUUGCCCGAUGCCAUUAAUAUAAGAGAAGUGAUGGGUAACUGUUAAUUAUCGAAAAUCUGGUUAAUAGCGGUCUUAACUAUGAGGAUCCUAAGGUAGCAAAAUAAAUUGGCCAUAAAGGUUGUCCGGUAUCAAUAAUUUAACGAUGGCUUCACUGUCUCUACAACUUGCUCAGUGAAAUUGAAUUACCCGUGCAGAUGCGGGUUGCCACCAGGGGGACGGGAAGACCCUAUGCAGCUUCU
This 325-nucleotide ribosomal RNA is filed under the name Suilloid fungal sp. 26MR. RNAcentral describes it as "LSU rRNA". It matches the Rfam family "Bacterial large subunit ribosomal RNA", at positions 1773 to 2103 of the family's 2925-position model. The record is from RNAcentral. Lineage: Eukaryota; Fungi; Basidiomycota; Agaricomycetes; Boletales; Boletaceae.